Molecule: ribosomal RNA, 500 nt
Filed under: Phelsuma v-nigra anjouanensis
Lineage: Eukaryota; Metazoa; Chordata; Lepidosauria; Squamata; Gekkonidae
Description: partial 16S ribosomal RNA
Rfam family: Bacterial large subunit ribosomal RNA
Source: RNAcentral
GUCCGACCUGCCCAGUGAACUUAAUUUUAACGGCCGCGGUAUCCUAACCGUGCAAAGGUAGCAUAAUCACUUGUCUCCUAAAUAGGGACUUGUAUGAACGGUUAAAUGAGGGCUUAACUGUCUCCUGCAGCCAAUCAAUGAAAUUGACCUUACAGUACAAAUGCUGUAAUAUAUAUACAAGACGAAAAGACCCUGUGGAGCUUUAAAUCACUGCAUUAUCUAAUAAUUUUAGUAUAAUAUAGAUUUUUAAGUUGGGGCGACUAGAAAGUAAAAACAAACCUUUCUGCAAACGACUAAAACUCGUCAUAUAAGGCCAACAAGCCAACCAAAACAACCAAAACAUAUGACCCAGUCAAACUGAUCAUCGAACCAAGUUACCCCAGGGAUAACAGCGCCAUCCCCUUAAAGAGUCCACAUCGCAAAGGGGGUUUACGACCUCGAUGUUGGAUCAGGACACCCAAGUGGUGCAGCAACUACUAAAGGUUCGUUUGUUCAACGAG